AGAGUUUGAUCCUGGCUCAGGAUGAACGCUAGCGGCAGGCCUAACACAUGCAAGUCGAGGGGCAGCAUUUCUAGCUUGCUAGAAGAUGGCGACCGGCGCACGGGUGCGUAACGCGUAUACAAUCUACCUAUUACUGAGGUAUAGCCCGAAGAAAUUUGGAUUAAGCCCUCAUAGUAUUAUAGAAUCGCAUGAUUUUAUAAUUAAAGGUUACGGUAAUAGAUGAGUAUGCGUCCUAUUAGCUAGAUGGUGAGGUAAAGGCUCACCAUGGCUACGAUAGGUAGGGGUCCUGAGAGGGAGAUCCCCCACACUGGUACUGAGACACGGACCAGACUCCUACGGGAGGCAGCAGUGAGGAAUAUUGGACAAUGGGCGCAAGCCUGAUCCAGCCAUGCCGCGUGUAGGAAGACGGCCCUAUGGGUUGUAAACUACUUUUGUACGGGAAGAAAUCUUUUUACGUGUAAAAAGUUGACGGUACCGUAAGAAUAAGCACCGGCUAACUCCGUGCCAGCAGCCGCGGUAAUACGGAGGGUGCAAGCGUUAUCCGGAAUCAUUGGGUUUAAAGGGUCCGUAGGCGGGCUGAUAAGUCAGUGGUGAAAUGCAGGGGCUUAACUCCGGCACUGCCAUUGAUACUGUUAGUCUUGAAUUAUUGUGAAGUGGUUAGAAUAUGUAGUGUAGCGGUGAAAUGCUUAGAUAUUACAUAGAAUACCAAUUGCGAAGGCAGAUCACUAACAAUAUAUUGACGCUGAUGGACGAAAGCGUGGGUAGCGAACAGGAUUAGAUACCCUGGUAGUCCACGCCGUAAACGAUGGUUACUAGCUGUUCGGUACGAUUGAGUACUGAGUGGCCAAGCGAAAGUGAUAAGUAACCCACCUGGGGAGUACGUUCGCAAGAAUGAAACUCAAAGGAAUUGACGGGGGCCCGCACAAGCGGUGGAGCAUGUGGUUUAAUUCGAUGAUACGCGAGGAACCUUA
Molecule: ribosomal RNA, 971 nt
Filed under: marine metagenome
Description: bacterial SSU rRNA
Rfam family: Bacterial small subunit ribosomal RNA
Source: RNAcentral